AACGCACGAGACCUGCGGACCUGCGGAAGGAUCAUUAAUGUUACCUCAUCCAACUUGCUUGCUGGCGAUCACUCUUUUCUCAAAGAGUCGAGCGCCAGCAAGCAAAGCACCCGUGAAAAGGUUAAAGUCCUUAACAGCAUCCAGCAUCGCUGGACCUGCUGUUAAAAAGCACCUCUUAAAUAAUCACGUCUAAUGAAUGAGCUUUUUUGAUUCAUCUUCUGAUGAAUCGAGAGCGAUUUA
This 240-nucleotide unclassified non-coding RNA is filed under the name soil metagenome. RNAcentral describes it as "partial contains 5.8S ribosomal RNA, internal transcribed spacer 2, and large subunit ribosomal RNA". The record is from RNAcentral.